UCCUCUGUAGUUCAGUCGGUAGAACGGCGGACUGUUAAUCCGUAUGUCACUGGUUCGAGUCCAGUCCCAGAAG
Molecule: transfer RNA, 73 nt
Filed under: Escherichia coli O157:H7 str. EC4486
Lineage: Bacteria; Pseudomonadati; Pseudomonadota; Gammaproteobacteria; Enterobacterales; Enterobacteriaceae
Description: tRNA-Asn
Rfam family: tRNA
About the family: Transfer RNA (tRNA) molecules are approximately 80 nucleotides in length.
Source: RNAcentral